RNAcentral lists this long non-coding RNA (3577 nucleotides) under Homo sapiens (human). Its description in RNAcentral is "HSALNT0143191". The record is from RNAcentral. Lineage: Eukaryota; Metazoa; Chordata; Mammalia; Primates; Hominidae.
CUCCUGCUUCAGCCUCUCAAGUAGCUGAGAUUACAGUACACUUUGUACUUUAAUAUGCAAACUGCCUGCCUGCUCCAGAGAAGCAGCCUUUGUUCCUCAGUUCAUCGCAACACUCAGCCUGUCAGUCAGGUUGUGGGAUCCCUCCUAUCCAGGAACUGUAUGCUGUUGUCCCGGUUCUGACACUUUCCCUCUGAGUCCUUGGACACCUUACCUAACCUCUUGGAAGCUCCUGUCUGUGAAGGGUGUGCACAGAGAGCUUCGGUAGCCUGCGAAGCAGCCAUUUUCACUUCCACGGAGCAGAUGCUGGCCUGGGUGCUGGAAUAUGGAAAUGAGGAAGAUCCUGCCUGAGGAUUUCAUGACAGUGCUGCGAUUACCGACGUGAGCCACUGUGCCCAGCCUCACUUUAAAAAAAAAAAAAGGUUAUGAAGCAUCUCAACACAAGACCUCCUUUGCUCAUCACAACCACCCAGUGAAGCAGGCAAGACAACAGAAACUCCCCACCUGUGAUAGAUGUGAGGCCUGAAGUCUCCCACAUACCCACGGCAGAUGCAACGCACAGCGGUGACCAAUGGUGAAGGAUCUAAAACCUGAAAAGAGGCCAAAUGAUUCCUCAAAACCACGCAAGUACGAAGUAGCAGAGCGGAUCUCAAAUCCAGGUUGCCCUGCUGAUGUCAUGCCUGACCAUAUGACUUGCUCCAGCCAAUGAAAUGUAAGCAGAAGUGACAUAUGCAGCAUGACCAGUGGAAGCUUCGAAGAGCUAUUGCCAAUUUCCACCCUCUCUCUGGAAACUGUCAUUAGGGUUAGGGAAACUGUCAUGAGAUCUGCAUAUUUUAGAUAGAGGCUGCUUGCCUUAUUUGGGCACCUAAUGAAAAAGACAUGGAGGCCAGGUGCGGUGGCUCAUGUCUGUAAUCCCAGCACUUUGGGAGGCCAAGGCGAGUGGAUCACCUGAGGUCAGGAGUUCGAGACCAGCCUGACCAACAUGGCAAAACCCCGUCUGUACUAAAAGUGCAAACACAAAGGGAACUGCGUGGCUUGUUUCUACCUGAACAUUGUCAAGUGAUUUCAUCCUUUGAAACACAGUUGUGAAGUGUGUCCAGCAGUCUGAGAACAAGAAGAAGAAGAAAAUCUAAUCCUUCAGGGUGUCUGUGUGCCAGCCCUGCUCUCAGCACUUCCCAUGUGGAACUCCUUUACUUCUCCUAACAACUCCAUGACAUGGGUUAGACUGUGAUUGUUCCCAUAUUGUUGGUAGGGAAACUGAGGCAUGCAGGUGUUACAGAGCUCUCUCAAGUGGCAAGCUUUCUGGGUGGUUACAGAGUGGCAGAGCUGGGGUAUCCCAUGAUGUCACCACACUGCUAUAUGGAAAAGAACAUUAAUCGAGCACCUACGUGCUUGAUUCUCUUAAUUCUGUGACUGAACUCUCAAAACACCCUGGGUUGGUUUCCUUUUUACAACUGCCCAAGUCAUGAGUUCAUAGGGCCUGGAUGGCUGUACCGGAUUGCUCUCCAGCUGGUCUCUCUGCAUCCAGAAAUUUCUACAACCUACUGGGAAGCAAGCAGCAUGCUGGAGACCCUCAAAUACAUGUGAAAUGAAGGGACACCUUGUGUUAUUUCACCUGUUUCCACCUGGUUCCCAAGUGGCAAGCUUGCAUUGAGGUUACAAAGUGGCAAAGCUGGGAUAUCACAUGAUGUCACCAUGAUGCUAUAUGAAAUGUAACAUUAAUUGAGUACCUAUGUGACCAGUUCUUUAAUUCUGUAAGUGAACUCUCAAAAAACCCUAGGUAAGUAUUAUCAACUCGAACUUUAACGGAUGAGGAAACUGGAAUUUUUUAAAAAAUGACUUAACCAAACAUCACAGAGCUGUAAACCAGGAUUUGAAUGGGUGAGCUGCACUCAGCCUUCAUCUCAAGUCAGUUUGCCUCUUUCUCCAAGAAGCCACAGUUGAUCCUGACCACAUCACAUAUGAGUUGCCUGGAUUGCAGUCAUUCAUUCACUAAGCAUCUUUUAGGAGGUCACAUGCCAGGCACCGUGUUAGGUAAUGAUUUCUCCAAGUCACAGGAGCCGUGGUUCUGACUUUAGAAAGUUUCUCAUCUGAUGGGAGGGCAGGCAAGUAAAUCAGUAAGGGUGGUCCCUGUCGGGACACUGGUUGAGAAAUACCCAGGAACACUCUGAUUGAGAAAUACCCAAAGUGCAAAGUGACAGGGACUAGAGGCAUCUCCACUGGACCAGAGAGCUCUGGAUUCGUCUUGAGCUAAGUCUCUGGAGGUAGGUGUCAGCUACAAGGAGAAAAGCUGUAUAUUUUGAGAUAUGGGAUGCAGGGCCUUUUAGUUCCAUAAAUAAGAGAACUAUGGUGUGAAUACCACAUGCCCUGGGCUGAACUAAGUGGGCUCUAGGGGAAGGUAUACUGGGCAGGGAGUUUGGAGAACUGGUUUCUGUCUAAUCCUUCUCUAACUCUGUGACCUUGAAUGCAUCAUUUCCCCUCUGAGUCUCAGAUUCUCUUUCUGGCUGGCAUUUAAUGAAACCUAAAUAUUCUAGACCUUCUACUUGUUCCAUAAGUGCUCAGUCCUACACUCACUCUCCUCUGGCACCAAUAUACUGAUUACUCAUUUUAUGCCCAGCAGAGCACUGCGUGUUUUGAAAUAUACAAAUAGUGGGAAACGAAAUCUUUGUUCUGGAUGCAGUUAUAAUUUGGAAAGCGAGGAAAUAAAUUAUAACAAGGGGAAAAAACAGACACAGAGGGAUUGAAAUGCAUAACAAUAGAGAUGAAACACGAAGAGUGAUAAAUGAAGAUUGAGUGUGCACACCUUCUGGAGGAGCCCUGAUUGAGUAUUUUAACACAGAAGUGGGUGAGAGCAAAGUUGUGUCAGAGUAAGACAAUGACACCAAGCCAGAUGGUUAUCAAAAUCCACAGGAACAAAUGAAGAGAACCAGAAAUUGCAAAUAAGAAGGACAGAGUACCAGAGAGGAGAGAGAGGUACAGAGAAUUAUGGAGGUGGCUUCCGUUGAGUAUGCAGCUAAGUAAUGAUUAAUGCAUACAUAUAAGAAACUACUGGAUGACAGAGAAAGAACCACAAGCAAUUUAAAGAAUACUACUAAAGUCAUGCCGUGUGACUUCUGAAGCUAGCUCCUAAGAAGUCCUUGCAGCUUCUGCCUGCGACUCUUAGAACACUUGCUUUGAAGGAUGCCAGAUGCUGUCUUAAAAGUCUGAGCACUCUGAAACCAUCAUGCUGUGAGGAAGCCCAAGCUAACCACAUGGGCAAAAAAGAUGCCCUCUGACUGCCACCAUUUGAGACACUCUAAUUAAGAACUGCCUCAUUGAGCCCAUGAGGCCCUGUGAAUGAUAAUAAUAAAUUGUUUUUAACCACUAUGUUUUUGGAUUUGUUAUAAGUUUAUAGAUAACAAGAAAAAGUUAUAUUAGCAUGGUAAUAAAAUUAUGGAUAUGUGUAAGUUUGGUGUUUUGUUUCUUUUUUUUUUUUACACUAAGCCUAUAUUACUGUUGUAAUUUAGGAAAUCACUUGUUUUCCUCCAGCACUUCAAUGUAAGAGUGGCACUACUUAGAAUGUACUUCUUAAGAUAUGGCU